AGAUGUGAGGGAGAUAUGGCUGCGACACCUAUCACUCUGUUGAUCGCCAGGGUUGAGUCAGCUGAUCUGGCUGGCUAGGUGGGUUCCCUUCCCCCUUCACCACUCCACAUGCACCCAUACUGAAGGUGCAUGCUUGGUCAAAGAGAACUAUCAUCCCCACUAGAGGAGGGACCGUUCUUCGGUCAAGGCAAUACAAGAAGCUGCGCUCCCCUGCUAGAAACUCCAAACUAGCUCUCAGGAAGGAAGGACAGGACUUCCUAUGUUGGAAAAGACAGAAGAAAAAAGAAUCAUCAAGGCAGGGGCAGUCAGGAU
This 312-nucleotide small nuclear RNA is filed under the name Carlito syrichta (Philippine tarsier). RNAcentral describes it as "7SK RNA (ENSTSYG00000033981.1)". It matches the Rfam family "7SK RNA". Rfam says of the family: 7SK was discovered as an abundant small nuclear RNA in the mid-70s but a possible function has only recently been suggested. Two independent studies have found that 7SK RNA binds the CDK9/cyclin T complex (known as elongation factor P-TEFb). P-TEFb activates transcription by phosphorylating the C-terminal domain of RNA polymerase II. The record is from Rfam by way of RNAcentral. Lineage: Eukaryota; Metazoa; Chordata; Mammalia; Primates; Tarsiidae.